UACGUAGGGUGCAAGCGUUGUCCGGAAUUAUUGGGCGUAAAGGGCUCGUAGGCGGUUUGUCGCGUCGGGAGUGAAAUCCACUGGCUUAACUGGUGGCUUGCUUUCGAUACGGGCAGACUGGAGGUAUGCAGGGGAGAACGGAAUUCUUGGUGUAGCGGUGAAAUGCGCAGAUAUCAGGAGGAACACCGGUGGCGAAGGCGGGUCUCUGGGCCGUAACUGACGCUGAGGAGCGAAAGCGUGGGGAGCGAACAGG
RNAcentral lists this ribosomal RNA (253 nucleotides) under uncultured bacterium. Its description in RNAcentral is "partial 16S ribosomal RNA". It matches the Rfam family "Bacterial small subunit ribosomal RNA", at positions 524 to 776 of the family's 1533-position model. The record is from RNAcentral.